Molecule: long non-coding RNA, 643 nt
Filed under: Homo sapiens (human)
Lineage: Eukaryota; Metazoa; Chordata; Mammalia; Primates; Hominidae
Description: HSALNT0215232
Source: RNAcentral
CUUACAGACUGGAGACCACAAGAAGAUGGGGGGCUGCAAGGGUUCCUAGAGGACACUUAAUUACAUGUCUUUUUUAGAGAUGGAUAAACUGAGGGCUCAGUGGGUCAUGACCUGCCCAGAGUCAUGGAGGGAGUGAGAGGCAGAGCCAGGAUGAGCUCCCAGGCCCUGAAACUUCUGGGCCAGUGGCCUACACACAGAGCUUCCCACCCUUCCUCAUUGGGUUUCUGCAAGCCCUCCCCACCCCAGCACUCUGCAGGGCCUGGGAAGUGAACCAGGUGGGAGGAUUCUUAGAGAAGAAAAGUGCUGAUUUAAGAGAAACUGCAUUAUUUGUGAAAUACAAAAUUCAUCUUGUGGGUGUAAGAGAUGCCUUCGUGGACGGAUGAAGCUCCUGGUACUAAGUAGCAGGAGUGCAGUGAAGCUGCUGUGUUCUCCAGCUCGUAGUUAAGGGCCAGUCAGGAUCAGACAUCUUGCCCUGAUGGAAAAGAAGAUGAACAGAUACCUCCUGACCUGGAUAGCAAUUAAUUCUGGGGACCUAGAUCCCCAAGGACUUUAGGAUGAGGCAGCAGUUUGGAUUUAGGAUCAACAUGGUAUUUAAAAUAUAAAAGCAUUGUAGUGUUGGGGAAGCAUCAUUUAAAAGAACUUG